CUGUCGUCAGCUCGUGUCGUGAGAUGUUGGGUUAAGUCCGUAACGAGCGCAACCCUUGUCCUUAGUUACCAGCACGUUAUGGUGGGCACUCUAAGGAGACUGCCGGUGCAAACCGGAGGAAAGGUGGGGAUGACGUCAAGUCAUCAUGGCCCUUACGGCCUGGGCUACACACGUGCUACAAUGGUCGGUACAAAGGGUUGCCAAGCCGCGAGGUGGAGCUAAUCCCAUAAAACCGAUCGUAGUCCGGAUCGCAGUCUGCAACUCGACUGCGUGAAGUCGGAAUCGCUAGUAAUCGUGAAUCAGAAUGUCACGGUGAAUACGUUCCCGGGCCUU
This 333-nucleotide ribosomal RNA is filed under the name uncultured Pseudomonas sp. RNAcentral's name for it is "bacterial SSU rRNA". It matches the Rfam family "Bacterial small subunit ribosomal RNA", at positions 1049 to 1382 of the family's 1533-position model. Lineage: Bacteria; Pseudomonadati; Pseudomonadota; Gammaproteobacteria; Pseudomonadales; Pseudomonadaceae. The record is from RNAcentral.